Molecule: ribosomal RNA, 425 nt
Filed under: uncultured bacterium
Lineage: Bacteria
Description: partial 16S ribosomal RNA
Rfam family: Bacterial small subunit ribosomal RNA
Source: RNAcentral
GUGGGGGAUAUUGCACGAUGGAGGAAACUCUGAUGCAGCGACGCCGCGUGAGUGAAGAAGUAUUUCGGUAUGUAAAGCUCUAUCAGCAGGGAAGAUAAUGACAGUACCUGACUAAGAAGCCCCGGCUAACUACGUGCCAGCAGCCGCGGUAAUACGUAGGGGGCAAGCGUUAGCCGGAUUUACUGGGUGUAAAGGGAGCGUAGACGGAAUGGCAAGUCUUAAGUGAAAUCCUGCGGCUUAACUGCAGAAUUGCUUUGGAAACUGUCAAUCUGGAGUGUUGGAGAGGUAAGCGGAAUUCCUGGUGUAGCGGUGAAAUUCGUAGAUAUCAGGAAGAACACCGGAGGCGAAGGCGGCUUACUGGACAAUAACUGACGUUGAGGCUCGAAAGCGUGGGAAGCAAACAGGAUUAGAUACCCUUGUAGUCC